RNAcentral lists this ribosomal RNA (1129 nucleotides) under Escherichia coli. RNAcentral describes it as "partial 23S ribosomal RNA". It matches the Rfam family "Bacterial large subunit ribosomal RNA", at positions 614 to 1746 of the family's 2925-position model. Lineage: Bacteria; Pseudomonadati; Pseudomonadota; Gammaproteobacteria; Enterobacterales; Enterobacteriaceae. The record is from RNAcentral.
AAUGGGUCAGCGACUUAUAUUCUGUAGCAAGGUUAACCGAAUAGGGGAGCCGAAGGGAAACCGAGUCUUAACUGGGCGUUAAGUUGCAGGGUAUAGACCCGAAACCCGGUGAUCUAGCCAUGGGCAGGUUGAAGGUUGGGUAACACUAACUGGAGGACCGAACCGACUAAUGUUGAAAAAUUAGCGGAUGACUUGUGGCUGGGGGUGAAAGGCCAAUCAAACCGGGAGAUAGCUGGUUCUCCCCGAAAGCUAUUUAGGUAGCGCCUCGUGAAUUCAUCUCCGGGGGUAGAGCACUGUUUCGGCAAGGGGGUCAUCCCGACUUACCAACCCGAUGCAAACUGCGAAUACCGGAGAAUGUUAUCACGGGAGACACACGGCGGGUGCUAACGUCCGUCGUGAAGAGGGAAACAACCCAGACCGCCAGCUAAGGUCCCAAAGUCAUGGUUAAGUGGGAAACGAUGUGGGAAGGCCCAGACAGCCAGGAUGUUGGCUUAGAAGCAGCCAUCAUUUAAAGAAAGCGUAAUAGCUCACUGGUCGAGUCGGCCUGCGCGGAAGAUGUAACGGGGCUAAACCAUGCACCGAAGCUGCGGCAGCGACACUAUGUGUUGUUGGGUAGGGGAGCGUUCUGUAAGCCUGCGAAGGUGUACUGUGAGGUAUGCUGGAGGUAUCAGAAGUGCGAAUGCUGACAUAAGUAACGAUAAAGCGGGUGAAAAGCCCGCUCGCCGGAAGACCAAGGGUUCCUGUCCAACGUUAAUCGGGGCAGGGUGAGUCGACCCCUAAGGCGAGGCCGAAAGGCGUAGUCGAUGGGAAACAGGUUAAUAUUCCUGUACUUGGUGUUACUGCGAAGGGGGGACGGAGAAGGCUAUGUUGGCCGGGCGACGGUUGUCCCGGUUUAAGCGUGUAGGCUGAUUUUCCAGGCAAAUCCGGAAAAUCAAGGCUGAGGCGUGAUGACGAGGCACUACGGUGCUGAAGCAACAAAUGCCCUGCUUCCAGGAAAAGCCUCUAAGCAUCAGGUAACAUCAAAUCGUACCCCAAACCGACACAGGUGGUCAGGUAGAGAAUACCAAGGCGCUUGAGAGAACUCGGGUGAAGGAACUAGGCAAAAUGGUGCCGUAACUUCGGGAGAAGG